GAUGAACGCUGGCGGCGUGCCUAAUACAUGCAAGUCGAGCGAACAGAUGAGGAGCUUGCUCCUCUGACGUUAGCGGCGGACGUGUGAGUAACACGUGGAUAACCUACCUAUAAGACUGGGAUAACUUCGGGAAACCGGAUCUAAUACCGGAUAAUAUAUUGAACCGCAUGGUUCAAUAGUGAAAGACGGUUUUGCUGUCACUUAUAGAUGGAUCCGCGCCGCAUUAGCUAGUUUGUAAGGUAACGGCUUACCAAGGCAACGAUGCGUACCCGACCUGAGAGGGUGAUCGCCCACACUGGAACUGAGACACGGUCCAGACUCCUACGGGAGGCAGCAGUAGGGAAUCUUCCGCAAUGGGCGAAAGCCUGACGGAGCAACGCCGCGUGAGUGAUGAAGGUCUUCGGAUCGUAAAACUCUGUUAUUAGGGAAGAACAAAUGUGUAAGUAACUAUGCACGUCUUGACGGUACCUAAUCAGAAAGCCACGGCUAACUACGUG
RNAcentral lists this ribosomal RNA (497 nucleotides) under uncultured bacterium. RNAcentral describes it as "partial 16S ribosomal RNA". It matches the Rfam family "Bacterial small subunit ribosomal RNA", at positions 28 to 507 of the family's 1533-position model. The record is from RNAcentral.